RNAcentral lists this ribosomal RNA (460 nucleotides) under uncultured bacterium. Its description in RNAcentral is "partial 16S ribosomal RNA". It matches the Rfam family "Bacterial small subunit ribosomal RNA", at positions 338 to 795 of the family's 1533-position model. The record is from RNAcentral.
CCUACGGGAGGCAGCAGUGAGGAAUAUUGGUCAAUGGGCGAGAGCCUGAACCAGCCAAGUCGCGUGAAGGAUGACGGCCCUACGGGUUGUAAACUUCUUUUGUCAGGGGGCAAUCGGGUCCACGCGUGGGCUGAGCGAGAGUACCUGAAGAAAAAGCAUGGGCUAACCCCGUGCCAGCAGCCGCGGUAAUACGGAGGUUGCGGGCGUUAUCGGGAUUUAUUGGGUUAAAGGGGUGCGUGGGCGUAAUAUCAGUUAAGCGGUAAAAAUUCGGGGUCCAACCCCGACGUGCCGUUGAAACCGAUGUUCUUGAGUGGGCGAGAAGUAUGCGGAAUGCGUGGUGUAGCGGUGAAAUGCAUAGAUAUCACGCAGAACUCCGAUUGCGAAGGCAGCAUACCGGCGCCCAACUGACGCUGAAGCACGAAAGCGUGGGUAUCGAACAGGAUUAGAUACCCCAGUAGUU